RNAcentral lists this ribosomal RNA (855 nucleotides) under Russula nigricans. Its description in RNAcentral is "eukaryotic LSU rRNA". It matches the Rfam family "Eukaryotic large subunit ribosomal RNA", at positions 82 to 943 of the family's 3401-position model. Lineage: Eukaryota; Fungi; Basidiomycota; Agaricomycetes; Russulales; Russulaceae. The record is from RNAcentral.
AGUAACGGCGAGUGAAGCGGGAAAAGCUCAAAUUUAAAAUCUGGCGGCCUCUGGUCGUCCGAGUUGUAAUUUAGAGAAGCGUCUUCCGCGCUGGACCGUGCACAAGUCUCCUGGAAUGGAGCGUCAUAGAGGGUGAGAAUCCCGUCUUUGGCACGGAUGCACCAGGGCUUUUGUGAUGCGCUCUCGAAGAGUCGAGUUGUUUGGGAAUGCAGCUCAAAAUGGGUGGUGAACUCCAUCUAAAGCUAAAUAUUGGCGAGAGACCGAUAGCGAACAAGUACCGUGAGGGAAAGAUGAAAAGCACUUUGGAAAGAGAGUGAAACAGUACGUGAAAUUGUUGAAAGGGAAACGCUUGAAGUCAGUCGCGUCGACCGAGACUCAGCCUUGCCUCGGCUUGGUGUACUUCUCGGCCGACGGGUCAGCAUCAAUUUUGCCCCUCGGAUAAUGGCGAGAGAAAGGUGGCACCCUCACGGGUGUGUUAUAGUCUCCCGUCGGAUGCGAGGGUCGGGAUUGAGGAACUCGGCACGUACCGUGCUUAGGAUGUUGGCGUAAUGGCUUUAAACGACCCGUCUUGAAACACGGACCAAGGAGUCUAACAUGCCCGCGAGUGUUCGGGUGGAAAACCCGUGCGCGUAAUGAAAGUAAAAGUUGGGACCUCUGUCGUGGGGGGCACCGACGCCCGGACCAGACCUUCUGUGACGGAUCUGCGGUAGAGCGUGCAUGUUGGGACCCGAAAGAUGGUGAACUAUGCCUGAAUAGGGUGAAGCCAGAGGAAACUCUGGUGGAGGCUCGUAGCGAUUCUGACGUGCAAAUCGAUCGUCAAAUUUGGGUAUAGGGGCGAAAGACUAAUCGAACCAU